Molecule: transfer RNA, 61 nt
Filed under: Acerella muscorum
Lineage: Eukaryota; Metazoa; Arthropoda; Protura; Acerentomata; Acerentomidae
Description: tRNA-Ile
Source: RNAcentral
AAUGACAUGUCUGAUAAAGAUUUAUUCUGAUAGAGUAAGAUAUGUAUAGUUACUGUCAUUU